UACGUAGGGGGCGAGCGUUGUCCGGAUUUAUUGGGCGUAAAGAGCUCGUAGGCGGUCUGUUGCGUCCGCUGUGAAAACUCGGGGCUUAACCCCGAGCCUGCAGUGGAUACGGGCAGACUAGAGGUAGGUAGGGGAGAAUGGGAUUCCCGGUGUAGCGGUGAAAUGCGCAGAUAUCGGGAGGAACACCGGUGGCGAAGGCGGUUCUCUGGGCCUUACCUGACGCUGAGGAGCGAAAGCGUGGGAGCGAACAGG
This 252-nucleotide ribosomal RNA is filed under the name uncultured bacterium. RNAcentral describes it as "partial 16S ribosomal RNA". It matches the Rfam family "Bacterial small subunit ribosomal RNA", at positions 524 to 776 of the family's 1533-position model. The record is from RNAcentral.